CUCCACGUAGCGCGCCGGCUUCGGCCUCUGGGGGAGUGGUCUCAAGCGCCAGGGGUGAAGCGGCUGUCCCCGCCCGCUGCACCUGCGCUUCAGGCCGAGCUGUUCGUGAGAGGUGGGCCCCUGGAAGCGGACGUGCCCCGGGAAGCCGCUGAACCUUCGCGGUGUCGGUGAAACCUGAGUUUUAAUUCUGACUACCGCGGUGCAAGGGCUCUCAGGUGGCGGGGUCGCUGCACUGCGCCGCAAACGGUUUUACUUAGCACAGUCCUACGUUGAUUCUGCAUCAGUGUCUCGGGCUGCUCUAUGCCCUCCGCUGGGGUAGGGGCUCAGGAUACACAGAUAGAAGCGAUGGGCAGCAAACCCGUGUCCAGGCAAGAAACACACGUUGUUACUCUCCGCAGUAGUCAUUUUCCCUGGUAACUUUACAAGGCGUCACUGAAAUCCUGCCUUCUCUAAUACUCCAAGCGCCUGGUUCAGGAAGCCGAUGUAACCCAUGAAGUUAAAACACAGAACACCUUUAAGAAAUAAUAACUCAGUAAAGGACAGCGGGACAACUUAUUAUGAAGAAAUGCUUUCCUAACAGAAACUCUUCUAUGGUGUUGGUAGCACUACCUGUGCAAGUCCCCAUCCCUCUCAGCCCUGUUACACGAGUGGGUGCACACAGCGGAGUGUCCCGCCUCGCUUGCUUUGCUUCCCAGAGGAAGAAAAGUCACGUGACUUACAGGAGGGGUCACCACAGAGUGCACUGUUUGUGACUGGAACAUUGGGAAUGCUUCCACUAUGGAGAACCUGAUGGCACCAGGCAAUAGUAGUUCUCCCUGAAAUCUGAAUGCUUUCAAAAGAAAAUUGCAUCCCAUUCUGGCCUCUUCCAGCCUUCUCUCCAUUUCUCUCGGACACAACCCAGCCCUCACCUCAGAGCUGCUGUGCUUGUCGUUUCUUCAGGCCGGUCUCUCGCCCCUCACCUUUGCAGGGCCGCCUCAGGAAUUACCAGGUGUCUGCGUGAAGGUCACCUCUGCGCAGGCCUUUCCUUGCAUCCAGAACGAGCGGUCCUCCCUCUCAAUCACACUCCAGUGCAUCACCCUGUUUGUCUUCGGAGCUCACAGAACAAGCACAGUUCUUUACAUGUUGUGAAGUUAUGCUCAUGAAAGGUUUCCUCUGUGUAACAGCCAGCCAGAAUGCAAGGACAAGAGCACAUUAUCUGACUCAUGACUCUUAUUUCCAAGGACCCAGAACCACGCCUGGCACACAGGGAGUGCUCGGAUGUUUUGCUGAAUGAGUGAAUGAAUGCCACAGUGAUCGUUUCUUGCUAGCAGCCCGAGACAGGCUGCCGUUCCCAACACAGAAAGCACUGGAACGAUGGUGGGGGAGAACAGGGCACAGCAAAGGGUGGUAGCCCCGUUGAAAGAGCCCUCCCAGCAAGGGGGUGGCCAACAGACUUCUGGGGCAGGGAUAUCAAACGAGCAAAGGGAAGGGAGCGAGGAGAAUGUUAGGGAGCACCCGGGGGGUGGGAAAGACCCAAAGGAGGCCUGCUAGGACCACAGUGUGUAAAGGGGAAACGUCGAGAGAGUAGGUCAGCCCAACCCAAAUUACUUAAAGAAUGAACUUUUUUUUUUUUUUUUAAAGAUUUUAUUUAUUUGACAGAGAUCACAAGUAGGCAGAGGAGCAGGCAGAGAGAGCGGAGGAAGCAGGCUCUCUGCUGAUGCGGGGCUCAAUUCCAGGACCCUGGGAUCAUGACCUGAGCCAAAGGCAGAGGCUUUAACCCACUGAGCCACCCAGGCGCCCCUAAAGAAUGAACUUUUGAGCCUUUGGUGACAAAAUGGUUAAAGAGUCCCCAAACAUGCAAAUCUUGGGGAUAAAGACAACCCUCAAAUUCCCUUUUAUAUCAACUAACGUAUAAAAUGGGUCUUCAACUUAAAAUUCAUGGGGCCCACAAGUAGGUAUUGAUGAGAUCAGAGCCAUUUGGUGGCAUCCAAAUUCAACGAAACGGUCCUUCUAAGCACAAAGCUAGGAGGUUUUGCUAAGAUUCAUGUAAUCAGUUUGAACAUUUUAUAUUUCAAUAUUCUUGCCCAACCCUAAUUAAGGAUAAAAUGGAUAUAUAACCCUCAUUAUGAUUUGAGGAUUCUAGAACCCUCGAUCCGUCCAAGUGUUCGAAUUACUACAGUUGGAUUCUGGUGUCCAGAGUUGGAGGAGGAAAAAACAGCACUCCUAAAAAAUUGUUACCAACGUGCUUUGUUUGGCCCUCAGGGUUAUAGAAGCAAUGGAGCAACCAUUUAAAAAUCAGAUUUCAAGUAAAAUUUUGGACCUAGCAUCUCUAAGAAAAGAUGAGAGGUUCCAGUAAUAGUGGGCCCUUGGGCAGCAGUGAGCUGGAAUGGAUUAUCAGUGCCCCACCCCUUUUAUUUGUCACAAACUGCCCAUAAAACAAGCCUCUCAUACUUGAAUCUGCAUGUGAUUCCUUGGGGGUCUUGUUAAAAACACAGGUCCUGAGUUAGUAGGUGUGGCCUAAAGCUCUGCAUUUCUGGAAAGCUCUCAGGUGGUGCAGAGGCAGCUGGUCUUCCCACCAUCCUUUGCUUAAUUAGCAAGGCUAGGAAUUAACCCAUCAACACAAAUAAAAACAGAAAUAAAAAAGCAAACAUUAUCUUUAUUUAAUAAUCUUUGAUAUUUAAAAUACAACUCAUCGAACAUCCACAUUAACAAUAGAAUCCUCAGUGUUCAACAGUGCUUUGGAAGCCCGGCUUUUCUAAGGACCAGACAGGAAGACCUGUGUGUGUAGUAACUGCAACAGAACUUGGAGGGAGGGCACACACAGAGAGGGCUACGGAGUUAGGUCCUGAGCAAAUGGCACCGCCACAGUGCACUGGUGUCAUGGCCAAAAGACAAUGCUUUUCAGGUGUUUUCUUUGUACUUGAAUUUCAAAUAGUUUAUACAGAACAGUAAUUUUUACAAAGUUAUUUCUAGUAGUCCAGUGUUAUAGAAAUUAAUUUUUCACAUUCCAAUGUACAUCUUUCUCUUUAAAAAAAAAUUUUAAAAAGUUCCUGGAGACAUUCACCUUUGAACUAUGCAAGAAGGUGAAGUGCUUCCUAAACGAGUCAGGAAUUUUUACAUACAUUUCACUAUUGCUUCCCAUUCCUUGUCUAUGAAUCCACAGUCUUAAUAUAUUUACUGAUACACUAUUGUUAAACAUGCCAAUUACUGUAAGUUUAGAAAUUGUAACUAGUAUUAAUUCUUAAAAUGCCAGAACAUUUUGCAAAAAUAAAAGCAAAGAUCUUCAAAUAAAAAAAAUAAAAAUUCAAGAAUUAAACAACUGUGUCAAUAAUCUUUUCAUUCAUGAAAGUAAAACGGAACAAAACAUUUUUGCUAAUGUAAGACUUUAAAAAAUACAAGCCAGUUUAUCUCUUUAGCAGAAGAUGCUGCUUCAUAAAGGGGCCAGGAAUAAAGGAAAGGUUUUUUUUUUUUUUGAAAAUAUGAAAAAUUAUUGACACUGCUGAAAGGAUUAGUUAUCCAAUCUGUUUUUUCUUAAUUAAGGUCACA
Mustela lutreola (European mink) is the source of this 3525-nucleotide long non-coding RNA. RefSeq lists it as uncharacterized. NCBI's taxonomy places the organism in Eukaryota, Metazoa, Chordata, Mammalia, Carnivora, Mustelidae. The record is from RefSeq and is a predicted model, not a curated record. The transcript is spliced from 3 exons.